Molecule: ribosomal RNA, 335 nt
Filed under: uncultured Pseudomonadota bacterium
Lineage: Bacteria; Pseudomonadati; Pseudomonadota
Description: bacterial SSU rRNA
Rfam family: Bacterial small subunit ribosomal RNA
Source: RNAcentral
AACGAACGCUGGCGGCAGGCCUAACACAUGCAAGUCGAACGAUAAGCCACCUUCGGGUGGUGGACAGUGGCAGACGGGUGAGUAACGCGUGGGAACGUGCCUUUCGGUUCGGAAUAACCCAGGGAAACUUGGGCUAAUACCGGAUACGCCCUUCGGGGGAAAGAUUCAUUGCCGAAAGAUCGGCCCGCGUCGGAUUAGCUAGUUGGUGGGGUAAUGGCUCACCAAGGCGACGAUCCGUAGCUGGUCUGAGAGGAUGACCAGCCACACUGGGACUGAGACACGGCCCAGACUCCUACGGGUGGCAGCCUGAGACGCCAAGGCACACAGGGGAUAGG